Molecule: ribosomal RNA, 424 nt
Filed under: uncultured bacterium
Lineage: Bacteria
Description: bacterial SSU rRNA
Rfam family: Bacterial small subunit ribosomal RNA
Source: RNAcentral
UCGGGAAUUUUGCGCAAUGGGCGAAAGCCUGACGCAGCAACGCCGCGUGAGGGAUGAAGGCCUUCGGGUUGUAAACCUCUUUUCUCAGGGAAGAUAAUGACGGUACCUGAGGAAGAAGCCACGGCUAACUACGUGCCAGCAGCCGCGGUAAUACGUAGGUGGCAAGCGUUGUCCGGAUUUACUGGGCGUAAAGAGCGCGCAGGCGGUCGUGCAAGUCGCGUGUGAAAGCCCCCGGCUCAACUGGGGAGGGUCACGCGAUACUGCUCGACUCGAAGGCAGGAGAGGGAAGUGGAAUUCCCGGUGUAGUGGUGAAAUGCGUAGAUAUCGGGAGGAACACCAGUGGCGAAGGCGACUUCCUGGCCUGUUCUUGACGCUGAGGCGCGAAAGCUAGGGUAGCAAACGGGAUUAGAUACCCCCGUAGUCC